This 252-nucleotide unclassified non-coding RNA is filed under the name uncultured fungus. Its description in RNAcentral is "sequence contains ITS1". The record is from RNAcentral. Lineage: Eukaryota; Fungi.
GCAAAAGGUUUGAGGACGUCCCGAGCCCGACCCCUCCGGGGGACGGUCGAAGGCGUCCCGACGAAGGGAAGUCGAAGCGGCGCACGGCCCUCGGUCCUCGCCGCUUUGCCUGUCCGCAAACCCUCUCCGCGUACCUCACCCUUGUUGCCUUCCCUGGUCUGAAUGGCCGGGGAAGAGACCGAAACCAAUCUUUGUGAACCGGUCGUCUGAAUCGGAGGGCCCGCGUGCCUUCCGAACGAUUAGAAAAAGUUU